This 207-nucleotide unclassified non-coding RNA is filed under the name Hevea brasiliensis (rubber tree). Lineage: Eukaryota; Viridiplantae; Streptophyta; Magnoliopsida; Malpighiales; Euphorbiaceae. The record is from RNAcentral.
AUUUUUAGAGCACCUUCUGCUGCCUUGGCUGCCAACCCGUUCAAAGUUUCAGUUCCUGAAAGAAUCCGCCGAUUACGGAUACCCGUGCGAACAGAAAUCCAUCCAUCUGAAGUUUCAACAAUCUGAGCAAGGUCGUCAUUAGAAAUCACAAGAUUUGGAACAGCCGAACCACAGCCAACAAACUUGGAACCCAUGCCAACAAGUCUG